GUUAAGAAUAAAAACAGUGAGUGACAUCAUCUGUUUACUUCAGCUUUUGCACCGUUGAUAGACUUCAUUUAGAGAACUGUACUAGCAAUAUUUGCCUCUCCUAAAAAAUUAUGGCAACAGACAUUGAAAUAUUUGCUUUUUUCGAAGAAGCACACUACGAUCAAUACGAUUACUACAAUUUAGCCGAAUAUUCAUGUCACGCUGGUGGAAAAGGUAGAACCAAGAGAGAAAUCGGACUGAACACCAAUCGCCAUAUCCCUGCUGGACACGAGAGAAAAAUUGCUGAAAAAUAUCAAAACAGUGAACUCAAACGCAGGAGAACCAAAAGUUCAUCAUCUUGAUGGACUCUGUGUCAGAUCUCAAACCUAGUUGAAGAUUGAACUGGAACAUGGUCCAAAUAUGUAUUUUUGCCUUUCCUGACCCUUCUGACCCAGUGAACAGAGUUGACUGUGACUGGCCUGCCAGGAAACAUACCUUGGCAGUUAGUUUCGAGUGCACUCCUUUUCCACAUGUUGCACCCCUGUAAGUGGUCUCCAGUUACAGCAGUGUGCAAGAAUACAUGGUUUUAAAUGGUUGAAGACCUCUCUAGGACUAUUAUGCUGUUAUCAUACCGUUUGGUUUAAAGUGUAAAAAGUACUGUGUUGUGAAUAAAGAGAUGACGAUUUAAAAGAG
Molecule: long non-coding RNA, 672 nt
Organism: Salmo salar (Atlantic salmon)
Lineage: Eukaryota; Metazoa; Chordata; Actinopteri; Salmoniformes; Salmonidae
Source: RefSeq, a predicted model, not a curated record